This 253-nucleotide ribosomal RNA is filed under the name uncultured bacterium. RNAcentral's name for it is "partial 16S ribosomal RNA". It matches the Rfam family "Bacterial small subunit ribosomal RNA", at positions 524 to 776 of the family's 1533-position model. The record is from RNAcentral.
UACGUAGGGGGCGAGCGUUGUCCGGAUUUAUUGGGCGUAAAGAGCGUGUAGGCGGUUCGGUAAGUCUGUCGUGAAAUCCUGAGGCUCAACCUCGGGCGUGCGAUGGAUACUGCCGGGCUAGAGGGUGGUAGAGGCGAGUGGAAUUCUCGGUGUAGCGGUGAAAUGCGUAGAUAUCGAGAGGAACACCUGCGGCGAAGGCGGGUAGCUGGGCCGACACUGACGCUGAGGCGCGAAAGCCAGGGGAGCGAACGGG